AUCUGAGUUUCUGACCUGUACAUUUUCAUUCUCUCUGAGGAAUGUCUUUCAACAUUUCUUGCAAGUCUUUGGGAACCAGCCUGCACAUAAGAUGCAUGCCUUAGCAUUUGCUCUUCUGCCAAGGACGAAGCAGCCUGUUCCGUGGGGUUUCCUCAUCGUUUUAAUAGAGGGGUGGAUUUUGAAAAUUUCUUCUGACAUUCUGAAGAGCUUCUUCUGUGGUCAUUUUUUUAUGAAGUAAUUAGAAACUGAGAUACUUCUCCAGAAUAAAUUGUUGGCUUUUGGGAUAGUGGAAUGGAAGAAUGGAAGAAUCCAUUACAGCAAGUGAUUCCUGAGGAUGCCAGAACCUCCCUUUUAUGAAGCCUUCUUCUUCUUCCAUCUGACUUUAUCUCUACAAGGAUAGAACAGAUGAGCUAAACUGUACCCAUCAGCGCCCAAGGCCUUGCUCACCUUCUCCAGGCACUAGAACCUGCUGGGCUUGAGAGAGGUAAAGUAGAGAGAUUACAGUUGAUGGACAGAGCAUUAAAAUAUUUUAACAGCCAUCUUAUCUUUCAUUUAGAAAAAAUUAUGACUACUUUCAGUUUGCAUAAACAUAUAGUGAAUACUCUCUAUUAAGUUGUCUACCUGGCUUAUUUUAUUUUUAGAUAUUCUGAAAUAAAGCAGAUUUUACGCAUUGCAAUAGGGGACAAAAACUAUUUUAAAUAAUAUCUUUUUUCAGAAAGUUAACUGCUGCAGUUCUUUGAAAGAAGAUAUUACAAGCAACUCAUUAGAAUGCUGAAUAGAGGACUAAUAAUUAUUUAUAAUGGAGGCCAUGUUGAGAUACUUCCUUGAAUUUUUUCUGAAAGCAAUGUUGGUAGAAUUCUUAUUAGGAAUAUGCUUUCUAUGAGACUUUAAUAGUAGUUCUAUUUUUAUCUGGGAAGAAAUGAACCUUACAAUACUAAUUUUCUCAGUUAACAGGGUUCCUUCUCCUAAAUAAGCCCAAUUCUUUAAUUUAGGAUGGGUAGCAGCUUUCCUUAGUCUUUGUGGAAAAGUGCACUUACAUUACAGAUGGGAAGAAAAAUUAAAGUAAGAUAUGAUUUUAACCUUUCUUUAGGAAUUGAGGAAAUCUAUUCUUAAUUUUCUUCAGUACCUAAUUUUGGAUGUUGUUUUUGCAAAAUCAAGGCUUUUUAAAUUACUCAUCAGGUUUUUUCUAGGAUCUGUAACUUCGUGGAAAAGAACACAGAUUUUUAAAAAUGCACUAGAAAACAUAAACAAGGGAUAUAUUUUCAUAGAUUUAGUAAGAACUUCAUUAUAUGCCUACUCUGUGCUAGGCACAGGUCUAAUAACAAGAAAAUCUGCAGUGGGCAAGACACAUGAAGUACCAGCCUUCAGUCAGCUUAAAUUUGCAUUUAUGGAAAAGAUAAUGAAUAAAUGUUAAUGAUGCUAAUACAUGUAUAGCAAGAGUAAAGAUAUAUAUAUUUAUGUAUGUAUUUUUUUAAAGGAAAUGAUUGAUUUGAAUUUGAAAUUUGUUAUACUUACAUGAAGUAUUCACUCAUAAUUUUAUCUCUUCUUUAUAUGUGAUGAUUGUGUAUUUUCUUUGUUAUUCUUGUACUUGUCUACUUUUUCUCUCUCUAAUUUUUAAAGAAUUGAUCGAUUUCUUUGUCUAUAUUACUGCAUUUCUCAAAAACAUAUAGUAUGAGUUGGUGGAAGUUGUCUCCCUGGUUAGGAGAAGAAGUUUAUUAUUAAGUUGUAUAUAAUUGUCAGAACACAGUUUUAAUAAUAAAAAAAGAACAACUUUUAAAACA
Homo sapiens (human) is the source of this 1781-nucleotide long non-coding RNA. RefSeq lists it as uncharacterized. Lineage: Eukaryota; Metazoa; Chordata; Mammalia; Primates; Hominidae. The record is from RefSeq and is a predicted model, not a curated record. The transcript has 4 exons.